CAGCCGCCGCGGUAAUACGAGGGGGGCAAGCGUUGUUCGGAAUUAUUGGGCGUAAAGGGCGCGUAGGCGGUUUGACAAGUUUCAUGUGAAAUCUAUGGGCUCAACCCAUAGUCUGCAUGGAGAACUGUCGGGCUUGAGUAUGGGAGAGGUGAGUGGAAUUUCCGGUGUAGCGGUGAAAUGCGUAGAUAUCGGGAGGAACAUCAGUGGCAAAGGCGGCCAUCUGGGACAACACUGACGCUGAAGCACGAAAGCGUGGGGAGCAAACAGGAUUAGAUACCCCUGUAGUCCCUGUCUCUUAUAC
RNAcentral lists this ribosomal RNA (301 nucleotides) under uncultured bacterium. RNAcentral's name for it is "partial 16S ribosomal RNA". It matches the Rfam family "Bacterial small subunit ribosomal RNA", at positions 509 to 807 of the family's 1533-position model. The record is from RNAcentral.